RNAcentral lists this ribosomal RNA (462 nucleotides) under Triticum aestivum (bread wheat). RNAcentral's name for it is "partial small subunit ribosomal RNA". The record is from RNAcentral. Lineage: Eukaryota; Viridiplantae; Streptophyta; Magnoliopsida; Poales; Poaceae.
UGGAUCCGCUCGACAAUCACCCAGGACGACCUCGAUGACUUGGUGGAGGGGGGACUGAUCCCCCACAAGUCAGCACGGCUCCAGAGGAAUGAAACCGAGCCGCAGCCGAGGGAGGGUGAGUGUGUUCUCCUCGCCACCCACGUAGAUCGCGGAUUCUCACUGCCUUCCCAUCCUUUCUUCCGGGUUUUUUUGAACUUCUUUGGGGCUCAACUACACCAUUUCACCCCAAACACCAUAGUCUAUCUGGCCGCUUUUUUUGUUGAUGUGCGAAAACUUCUUGGGUUGUCGACCGCACUGGGCCUUUUCAAACACAUCUUCACCUGCCGAUCCCAGUCGGUCAAAAAGGCCAAGUCGAGUGACGAGAAGACACAAGUGAUCCAGAUGUGCGGGGGUCUGGGGAUCCAGAUGAGGAGCAAGAGUACUUUCCCAGCCAUGAUUAUUCCCGACUCGGUCCGGGGCUAG